AUCUACGGCCAUAGGACUCUGAAAGCACGCGCAGUUAACCAGAGCGCCGCCUAGUUAGUACCACGGUGGGGGACCACGCGGGAAUCCUAGGUGCUGUGGUUU
This 102-nucleotide ribosomal RNA is filed under the name Laetiporus sulphureus 93-53. The record is from RNAcentral. Lineage: Eukaryota; Fungi; Basidiomycota; Agaricomycetes; Polyporales; Laetiporaceae.